RNAcentral lists this ribosomal RNA (552 nucleotides) under Escherichia coli. RNAcentral's name for it is "bacterial SSU rRNA". It matches the Rfam family "Bacterial small subunit ribosomal RNA", at positions 993 to 1533 of the family's 1533-position model. RNAcentral also lists the same sequence under 3 other names. The record is from RNAcentral. Lineage: Bacteria; Pseudomonadati; Pseudomonadota; Gammaproteobacteria; Enterobacterales; Enterobacteriaceae.
GAACUUUCCAGAGAUGGAUUGGUGCCUUCGGGAACUGUGAGACAGGUGCUGCAUGGCUGUCGUCAGCUCGUGUUGUGAAAUGUUGGGUUAAGUCCCGCAACGAGCGCAACCCUUAUCCUUUGUUGCCAGCGGUCCGGCCGGGAACUCAAAGGAGACUGCCAGUGAUAAACUGGAGGAAGGUGGGGAUGACGUCAAGUCAUCAUGGCCCUUACGACCAGGGCUACACACGUGCUACAAUGGCGCAUACAAAGAGAAGCGACCUCGCGAGAGCAAGCGGACCUCAUAAAGUGCGUCGUAGUCCGGAUUGGAGUCUGCAACUCGACUCCAUGAAGUCGGAAUCGCUAGUAAUCGUGGAUCAGAAUGCCACGGUGAAUACGUUCCCGGGCCUUGUACACACCGCCCGUCACACCAUGGGAGUGGGUUGCAAAAGAAGUAGGUAGCUUAACCUUCGGGAGGGCGCUUACCACUUUGUGAUUCAUGACUGGGGUGAAGUCGUAACAAGGUAACCGUAGGGGAACCUGCGGUUGGAUCACCUCCUUACCUUAAAGAAGC